Long non-coding RNA from Diorhabda carinulata, 612 nucleotides. RefSeq lists it as uncharacterized. The transcript has 3 exons. Lineage: Eukaryota; Metazoa; Arthropoda; Insecta; Coleoptera; Chrysomelidae. The record is from RefSeq and is a predicted model, not a curated record.
UGUCAAUUGUCGUUGUGUCAAAUAUGGUUUAAUCAAAUUUUAUAUUAAAGAUUAUAUGCAUGCUUUAUAUUGCUAAUAUUUAGGCUAGAGGUAUUUCUUCCCUAAUCGUUACAAAGUAAUUGGGUAUUAAUAAAAAUCCUCUAUUUCCUAUAGAAACUAUUGCAACUGUAUAUUUGUAUUUUGUGAGAAAAUCUAUCGAAGAAAUCAUUAUGGUUCAUUGGAAAGGCAAAUUGGACAUCGCUAGCAGUCGGUCUUUAUAUGAACCGACGAAGAGGAAUAGCUCAAGUUGUUGGUAGAAGAAAUAUGGUGUAUAUAUCCAGGUUAAUGGAGACAGGACAUUGGGAACAAGGAAUGUCCAGAAAUGGAUUGACAUAUAGAGAACAGUUCUUUGUAUUAAGAAAAUGAAGCAGGAAUUUAUUUUUAUGUAUAUAAUAAAAAGUUUUUUGUGUUUAAAUUAAAGAGAAAUGGUGAACCGGAGUCCAGAACGUUUUUUUUUCUGCUGAACCGAACUGAAACAAAUAUGUGAACCGGUUCAACGGGAAUUAAACUUUAUUUAUAAUAAACAUUAGAAGAAAAAAAUAUAAAAUUUUAAAAAAGUAAAGAUUUCAUACA